RNAcentral lists this long non-coding RNA (2189 nucleotides) under Mytilus galloprovincialis (Mediterranean mussel). Lineage: Eukaryota; Metazoa; Mollusca; Bivalvia; Mytilida; Mytilidae. The record is from RNAcentral.
CUUGAUAUUAACUACUCUUUGUUAUUUCCGGAUACAAACUACGUUUGAUAUUUUUAAUUUUACAGAUUUUAUCACCGUUUUAAAGCAGAGCUCUGGUUUUAAAGAAAGCCUAAAGAUGUCGGAAAGAAAAGUUUUAAACGUAUGUAUAUUUUAUCAUAUAGAAUAAUAGAAAAUGAUGAGAAUAUAUAGUUCACAGCCGUUUUCGUCAUGAAAAAUUUUCCCUCGCCAUUUCGUCCAUUUGUCUUUGGUUUAAUUUGUUGAUAAGAAAUAAAGCUGUCAAGGCGAAGCUAUCUGAUAGCUUAAACUGUUGAACAGAUGUUCAUUUCUUCUUUUGUUAAUAAAUUAUUUAAUAGAUAAGCUUUAUAGUCUACAAACAUUAAACAAGGAGAUAACAUAAGCUCUAAUGAGCUUUUAACUGGCAUGCCUUUUUUUGUGCUCUUUAUUAUUAAAGCUUAGAUAUAAUAAUUAUAUAUUGGCAGUUAGCAUACUACUACCUGGAAGCUUAAACCAGCAUUCACAUUCUUCACAUUGAUUUAAUUAAAUUGUAUAUUGAAAUCAAAUAAACUAAUAUCAUAAACAUUAGACUAUAUCAAUAUCGGAUACACUCUCCGACCGGUCUCACUAAUCAGCAACAAGAAGAAUUUUAGCGAAAAGAAGCUUCAAGAAAUGACAAGAACACUAUUAAGCAUCAGAAAAUAAAUUUAGUGACAAGAAAUUCAAUAUUCUAUCAGUAAAUAUAAAUUAUAAAAUAUUAAGUCAAUUUCUAUAGUGGGUCUCAUUGGGGUCUAUUAAAGCAUGACACUGGAUUGCUGACUUUUUGUAAGCAUGACAUGUGAAGGUCAAAUUAUUUUGUCGUAAAUACAGGAAACACAGGAAUUUACAAAAAAAAAAUGAGAAUUGCUUACGUACAUGUACAUAGUGUAAGAGGGAUACAGGAAUCUGACAAAACAGUAAGCGGGAUCCAGGAUCAGAACCCCCAAUGAGACCCCCUCUAUAGUAGUAUUAAAAGCAAAACACACUUUGAAUUGUUUGAAAUAUAUCUUAUUGCUACAUUUACCAUGAUUACAGCAAAUACUACGUUAUAAAUUUUAACAAUAGUUUUAGAAUUAUUAUAUAUACAUUUGUACAUGUAUUAUCUUACAAUUUGUUUAAUACUCUGUCUAAUAUAUAGUAAACUGACUGCAUGAAAAAUACAUUAUUUUUGCAUCAUUGUCCAGAAAAAAAACAGACAUAAUUUGUGAAUAAAUUGGAAAUCAUUGAAAUCAAACAAGAGAAAAACGUAACUCAACAGCAAAUUUUUACAUCAUUUUAUUAUGUGUAUGGCCUCAUUUGACAAUCGUGUUAAUGAAAAUACUGACGGUCUAAUCUAUAUAAAAUAAAAACGAGAAACACACAUAAAUUACAUAAACAAACAACAACUACAUGUACUGUACAUCAGAUUCCUGACUUAGGACAGUUUAGAUGGAACGGAAGACCAGUUUUCCCAAAUGACCUGUUUAUGUUAUUAGUGAAUGCAUAGUUUUCAUGAAAUCAGGUAAACCAGGACUAGAGACAACCUGGACCAAGACAAUAACUUAUUGGCCAAAUGAGCCUGUGUGCCUGUUGAAUGAUGCCCAAUAACAAUAGAUUAUUUAUACAAAACAGUAUUCAUACAUCUAAUUGAUUAAUUUUUUGAGGGGUUCAUAUUUUUUUUUCAAGUUUCAAGAAGGAAUCUUAAAUUGCACAAUACUGAACAAUAGAUUUUAAAGAUCUUUGACCACAUUUAUUUUAUGUUGAAACCUAAAUGUAUAUAAUGUCAAAAUUUUUAUCAUUAUCCAAAUUCAGAGAGUAUCAAGCUUGAAUAUAAUGUGUCAUGACUUGCCCCAACUGAUCAGGGUUAGACAUCUGCAGUCAUAUCAGGCUGCACUCAGCAAAGCAUUAUAUUCAAUAAAGGUUUUUGGACAUACAUUGUAUAAGCUGACCAUUGAAUGUAUUUUAGUUGAUUAGGUGGUUGGGUUGCUGUCUGAUUGACCAUGUUGACAUAUAUACUCCAAAUCUUCUUUUACUUAAUGCAACAUUCAUGAUUAUUUUUCUGUUUUAGAAAUACUAUCCAGCAGAUUUUGAUCCAAACAAUAUUCCUAAGAUGAGGAGAGAGAAAAAUAGACCUUUCAACAUACGUUUAAUGGCACCAUGUAACAUGAGGUAACAAG